Molecule: non-coding RNA, 30 nt
Filed under: Homo sapiens (human)
Lineage: Eukaryota; Metazoa; Chordata; Mammalia; Primates; Hominidae
Source: RNAcentral
ACACUGUUGAACCUAGAGGACAUCAUGGUA